AAAGAGUUCAGCAUAAAAAUCUCAGAGAGGGAUUUGCUACCCUCUCGGGCAUAGAUGCAUGCCAUAUAAUGUACUUGAACUGAUAUAAUUAAUGUUGUGAAUGUCACAAGUAGAUAUCAGUUGUAUCUAGGCUGUGAGUGCUGGAUUGCUGUGAAAAUAUCCUUAAGCUCUUAAGAAGGACUGAGGACAUAUUUUUAAUUUGGAGAAGGAUCAAAGCUAGGAGUAGGAGGAUGCACCAAUUCAGAUUUUAUGUAUGAUAUUGAUGGUAGAAUGCCUACAUCAUGAGAUGUGUUUCUAUGUCGAUAUCUUGGAAGAGUUUCAAAUAAUUGAUCGAUGAAAGCUGAGUACACUGUAGACGUAUAGGAUACAUUCUGGUUUUAAUGAUUAGUUGCAGAAUUGAUUGUCAUACCAUCAGAUGCUGUGACACUAUACUGCAAAGACAAUGGCACCAUAGCCCUUGCUAAGGAGCCUAGAUCUCACUAGAUAUCCAAGUACAUAGUGUUGGAUUCCGAUGAUGUAGUGAAAUAUGAAUUUCAAAAUUUUUAACAUGCAUUCAAUAAUUGAAAAUAUAAUUUAACAAUUAAAUAAGAAAAUCGAAAAUACAAAAACUCUAGUAACCCCUUGAUGAUUACAAUCAAAUAUCAAAGUCAUACAUAUCAGGAG
This 663-nucleotide long non-coding RNA is filed under the name Elaeis guineensis (African oil palm). RNAcentral describes it as "long non-coding RNA (EGUI_LNC055892)". The record is from RNAcentral. Lineage: Eukaryota; Viridiplantae; Streptophyta; Magnoliopsida; Arecales; Arecaceae.